Molecule: long non-coding RNA, 1024 nt
Organism: Canis lupus familiaris (dog)
Lineage: Eukaryota; Metazoa; Chordata; Mammalia; Carnivora; Canidae
Exons: 3
Source: RefSeq, a predicted model, not a curated record
UCUUGGGUGACGGUGAUCGCCGCCUCUUGGCGCUCCGGGUUGGAGCGUCUGGCGCCAUCUUGGAUGCGGUCAGCGUCGCCUGUGGCCUCCUUCGCCGGUGCCGCCGCGUCUGCCGUCUGGAGGCUUCGUGGUCCCUGAGUGUUUUCCGUCCUUAUAAGUGCCCUCUGCCUCCGUGACGGAUCGGGAGUAUGACGCCCUCGUUCUCCCUUCCCUCCUUGCUUCUGCCGAGGGCUCUGGCCUCGCCGCCGAGCACGUGACCAGCGGAAUAUAAACAGUUACUUGAGAGUAGAGGAUGUUUCUGAUGUAUUUUAGCAUCUCUGAGUGCCAGAAGAGUAGGGGCUUACCAUCAGGAUCAGGAUGUAUCUGGGUAGUCUCCAGCGAGUGGCAUGGGAAGAAAGAGAAGGGUUAAGAGAUUGAACAAACAGCGUGCACUGUGGUAUCCUUUAUUUAAAAACUGUGAGCUAACUACAGUUGUAGUGUUCUCAUUUACCAUUCUGAUGGCAUAAUAAACUGGGAGAACAUUAACACAAUUUCAAGACAUUAAAAACCUGUAGCAAACACACACCACACAUGCGCACACACAUGACAACACACAUGCACACGCAGAUUAUAGUCUAAACACAACUAAGUGAAGAAAAGCUUCAAAUGCUCUAAAUCAAAUUUUAAAACCCUUUAUUAUAAACUGUGGCAAUACCGUGGCUAUUAUGAAAAAAAGUUGUAACUGCUUAAAAAGCAAAAAGAAAAAUACUGGCAAAUUUGAAACUAGCAGCAAAAAGCAGAUAAAAAUAGAAUGGAAGGUAACAUAAGACUAAUAUCAAAGUUCUAAAGUUGAUACUGUGUAGGGUUGUACUGAAGUCAUUUCAGAUUGUUUCUUGAGGAACUAGUAAGAAGUCCCUUGAAAUAUGAAAUUGCUGCACUUUACAAACAGUGGAAAAGAAAAAGUAUUUGGAAUGUUACACACACACACACACACACACACAGAGAAAUGUAUUAGGCAUAUCAGUUUAUAGUCUUUGUUUAUGAC